GCUCCGUUGGUGUAAUUGGCAGCAUGCCACGUUCUCAGCGUGGAGAUUAUGGGUUCAAGUCCCAUACGGAGUGCCA
This 76-nucleotide transfer RNA is filed under the name Candidatus Cloacimonadota bacterium. RNAcentral describes it as "tRNA-Glu". It matches the Rfam family "tRNA". Rfam says of the family: Transfer RNA (tRNA) molecules are approximately 80 nucleotides in length. Their secondary structure includes four short double-helical elements and three loops (D, anti-codon, and T loops). Further hydrogen bonds mediate the characteristic L-shaped molecular structure. tRNAs have two regions of fundamental functional importance: the anti-codon, which is responsible for specific mRNA codon recognition, and the 3' end, to which the tRNAs corresponding amino acid is attached (by aminoacyl-tRNA synthetases). tRNAs cope with the degeneracy of the genetic code in two manners: having more than one tRNA (with a specific anti-codon) for a particular amino acid; and 'wobble' base-pairing, i.e. permitting non-standard base-pairing at the 3rd anti-codon position. The record is from RNAcentral. Lineage: Bacteria; Pseudomonadati; Candidatus Cloacimonadota.